GCCCGGAUGGUGGAAUAGGUAGACACGCGGGACUUAAAAUCCCGUGGGCAGCGAUGUCCGUGCGGGUUCGAUUCCCGCUCCGGGUA
This 86-nucleotide transfer RNA is filed under the name Alistipes sp. CAG:157. It matches the Rfam family "tRNA". From Rfam's summary of the family: Transfer RNA (tRNA) molecules are approximately 80 nucleotides in length. Lineage: Bacteria; Pseudomonadati; Bacteroidota; Bacteroidia; Bacteroidales; Rikenellaceae. RNAcentral also lists the same sequence under 4 other names. The record is from Rfam by way of RNAcentral.